Molecule: small nucleolar RNA, 138 nt
Filed under: Ornithorhynchus anatinus (platypus)
Lineage: Eukaryota; Metazoa; Chordata; Mammalia; Monotremata; Ornithorhynchidae
Source: RNAcentral
CCCCUCUCAGAGUCGCCCCUGGAGAGUUUCCAGUAGUCUACCAGUCUCGGUUAUGGGAGGGAGAGUCAAGCAGAGGCCUACCCAUUCCAUCAUUUGCUUGGGCAGUGGCUAAGGAGUGGAAGGCAAUCUGCUACAAGU